This 464-nucleotide ribosomal RNA is filed under the name uncultured bacterium. RNAcentral's name for it is "bacterial SSU rRNA". It matches the Rfam family "Bacterial small subunit ribosomal RNA", at positions 338 to 795 of the family's 1533-position model. The record is from RNAcentral.
CCUACGGGAUGCAGCAGUGGGGAAUAUUGCACAAUGGGCGCAAGCCUGAUGCAGCCAUGCCGCGUGUGUGAAGAAGGCCUUCGGGUUGUAAAGCACUUUCAGCGGGGAGGAAGGCGAUAAGGUUAAUAACCUUGUCGAUUGACGCUACCCGCAGAAGAAGCACCGGCUAACUCCGUGCCAGCAGCCGCGGUAAUACGGAGGGUGCAAGCGUUAAUCGGAAUUACUGGGCGUAAAGCGCACGCAGGCGGUCUGUCAAGUCGGAUGUGAAAUCCCCGGGCUCAACCUGGGAACUGCAUUCGAAACUGGCAGGCUAGAGUCUUGUAGAGGGGGGUAGACUUCAGGUGUAGCGGUGAAAUGCGUAGAGAUCUGGAGGAAUACCGGUGGCGAAGGCGGCCCCCUGGACAAAGACUGACGCUCAGGUGCGAAAGCGUGGGGAGCAAACAGGAUUAGAUACCCCUGUAGUC